This 468-nucleotide ribosomal RNA is filed under the name uncultured bacterium. Its description in RNAcentral is "partial 16S ribosomal RNA". It matches the Rfam family "Bacterial small subunit ribosomal RNA", at positions 28 to 507 of the family's 1533-position model. The record is from RNAcentral.
GACGAACGCUGGCGGCGUGCUUAACACAUGCAAGUCGAACGGAAAGGCCCUGCUUUUGUGGGGUGCUCGAGUGGCGAACGGGUGAGUAACACGUGAGUAACCUGCCCUUGACUUUGGGAUAACUUCAGGAAACUGGGGCUAAUACCGGAUAGGAGCUCCUGCUGCAUGGUGGGGGUUGGAAAGUUUGGGCGGUUGGGGAUGGACUCGCGGCUUAUCAGCUUGUUGGUGGGGUAGUGGCUUACCAAGGCUUUGACGGGUGGCCGGCCCGAGAGGGGGGGCGGCCACAUUGGGACUGGGAUAAGGCCCGGACUCCUACGGGAGGCAGCGGAGGGGAAUAGUGCACAAUGGGCGGAAGCCUGAUGCAGCAACGCCGCGUGCGGGAUAACGGCCUUCGGGUUGUAAACCGCUUUCGCCUGUGACGAAGCGUGAGUGACGGUAAUGGGUAAAGAAGCACCGGCUAACUACGUG